This 463-nucleotide ribosomal RNA is filed under the name uncultured bacterium. Its description in RNAcentral is "SSU rRNA". It matches the Rfam family "Bacterial small subunit ribosomal RNA", at positions 26 to 518 of the family's 1533-position model. The record is from RNAcentral.
AGGAUUAACGCUGGCGGCGUGCCUAACACAUGCAAGUCGAACGAGGUAGCAAUACCUAGUGGCAGACGGGUGAGUAACGCGUGGUCAACCUACCGUUGAGUGGGGGAUAACUAGCCGAAAGGUUAGCUAAUACCGCAUACGAGUCUCGGGGGCAUCCCUGGGCCUUAAAAGGAGCAAUCCGCUCGAUGACGGGACCGCGUCCCAUUAGCUAGAUGGUGGGGUAAUGGCCUACCAUGGCUCCGAUGGGUAGCUGGUUUGAGAGAGCGACCAGCCACACUGGGACUGAGAAACGGCCCAGACUCCUACGGGAGGCAGCAGUGAGGAAUUUUCCGCAAUGGGCGAAAGCCUGACGGAGCGACGCCGCGUGUGGGAAGAAGGCCUUCGGGUCGUAAACCACUGUCGAAGGGGACGAUAAUGACGGUACCCUUGGAGGAAGCCCGGCUAACUACGCGCCAGCAGCCGC